UACGGAGGGUGCAAGCGUUGUUCGGAUUGAUUGGGCGUAGAGCGCACGUAGGCGGGUUCAUAAGUCGAAUGUGAAAGCCCUAGGCUCAACCUAGGAAUUGCAUCCGAAACUGUGAGUCUUGAAUACUCGAGAGGCUGGUGGAAUACCUGGUGUAGGAGUGAAAUCCGUAGAUAUCAGGUGGAAUAUCGGAGGCGAAGGCGGCCGGCUGGUGAUGUAUUGACGCUGAGGUGCGAAAGCGUGGGGAGCAAACAGG
Molecule: ribosomal RNA, 253 nt
Filed under: uncultured bacterium
Lineage: Bacteria
Description: partial 16S ribosomal RNA
Rfam family: Bacterial small subunit ribosomal RNA
Source: RNAcentral